This 1165-nucleotide ribosomal RNA is filed under the name Ostreopsis sp. OIK2. Its description in RNAcentral is "eukaryotic LSU rRNA". It matches the Rfam family "Eukaryotic large subunit ribosomal RNA", at positions 92 to 1232 of the family's 3401-position model. RNAcentral also lists the same sequence under 1 other name. Lineage: Eukaryota; Dinophyceae; Peridiniales; Ostreopsidaceae. The record is from RNAcentral.
AAUGAACACAAAUUUGAUCACUUUGGCAAUCUGUACACAUUGCUGUGUAACAAUUUGUAUACGUUGGCACAGUGCUAUCAAAGCUGCAUGCAAGUGUUUUUUUGAAAGGAUACAACAUGGGAUGUGAUAUUCAUGUGUGUGUGCCUGCUUUGUCCACAGCCUGUGCUGUAUGAAUCACAUUUCUUGCAACUGAAAUGCUAAUGGCAUGGUAAAGUUCAUGUGACAUGACACAAGCUUGAGAUUCAUGAUGUGCAAGUACCAUGAGGGAAAUGUGAAAAGGACUUUGGAAAGAGAAUUAAAUAAAGCCUGCAUUUGCUGACAAUGAAAGCAAGUGUGGAUGUUCAUGUAAUUGUUACUGCAUCAAUCAAUGUUCAUCUUGGUUACUGCAUGCUUUAUAUUACAGCUCAGAACAUGAAGUGUGUGUAACAGCUCUGCUUUGAUUUUUCCCACAUGGGAUCAGUUGAAACAUUGUGAGAGCACUCUUCAGUUUCCUUAUGUAUCCACCAGCUUUGUCCACUCGCGUGUUGGCACACAUGUAAUGAUGAUGUGUUUAUGCAAGAUACUUCUGUGCUCAACAACAUGUUGUGUCAAUCCUCACUUGACCCGUCUUGAAACACGGACCAAGGAGUCUGGCAAGUGUGCAAACCAACUUUCUGUAAAGAUUUGUAUGUAAUGAACAUGUUUGUAUCAUUAUUGCACCACCAAUCAAUAUUCAGCUCGUUGCUUAUUUGAAUGUGAGCAUUGUUGCUAGGACCCGAAAGAUGGUGAACUAUGCUUGCAUAACAUGAGUUCAGAGGAAACUCUGAUGGAAGUUUGUAUCGGUACUGACGUGCAAAUCGUUCGUCACAACUGGGUAUAGGGGCGAAAGACUAAUCGAACCAUCUAGUAGCUGGUUCCUCCCGAAGUUUCCCUCAGGAUAGUUGGGAUUUGUUCAGUUAUAUUAUUUAAAGCGAAUGUUUAAAGGAAUUGGGGGCUUGUUUGCCUUUGACCUAUUCUCAAACUUUUAAUGUGUAUUAUUGCUGGAAUAACACAGAGUAUUGCAUGCAAUGAAAAAAUCAAGUGGGCCAUUUUUGGUAAGCAGAACUGGCGAUGAGGGAUGAACCUAAUAGUGGGUAAACAUGCUUAAUUUCCUGCCUAUGUGAUACCAGAAAGGGUGUUGGUUCAU